Non-coding RNA from Rhamnusium bicolor, 75 nucleotides. Lineage: Eukaryota; Metazoa; Arthropoda; Insecta; Coleoptera; Cerambycidae. The record is from the annotation of a GenBank genome assembly.
GGCUUCAUGGUCAAGUGGUAAGAAUAUUUGCUUCUCAUCCAGGAGUCCUGGGUUCGAUUCCCGGUCGAGGAGCUA